This 468-nucleotide ribosomal RNA is filed under the name uncultured bacterium. RNAcentral describes it as "partial 16S ribosomal RNA". It matches the Rfam family "Bacterial small subunit ribosomal RNA", at positions 28 to 507 of the family's 1533-position model. The record is from RNAcentral.
GACGAACGCUGGCGGCGUGCUUAACACAUGCAAGUCGAACGGAAAGGCCCUGCUUUUGUGGGGUGCUCGAGUGGCGAACGGGUGAGUAACACGUGAGUAACCUGCCCUUGACUUUGGGAUAACUUCAGGAAACUGUGGCUAAUACCGGAUAUGAGCUCCUGCUGCAUGGUGUGGGUUGGACAGUUUCGGCGGUUGGGGCUGGACUCGCGGCUUAUCAGCUUGUCGGUGGGGUAGUGGCUUACCAAGGCUUUGACGGGUAGCCGGCCUGAGAGGGUGACCGGCCACAUUGGGACUGAGAGACGGCCCAGACGCCUACGGGAGGCAGCAGUGGGGAAUAUUGCACAAUGGGCGGAAGCCUGAGGCAGCAACGCCGCGUGCGGGAUGACGGCCUUCGGGUUGUAAACCGCUUUCGCCUGUGACGAAGAGUGAGUGACGGUAAUGGGUAAAGAAGCACCGGCUAACUACGUG